UACGAAGGGGGCUAGCGUUGCUCGGAAUCACUGGGCGUAAAGCGCACGUAGGCGGCUUUUUAAGUCAGAGGUGAAAUCCUGGAGCUCAACUCCAGAACUGCCUUUGAUACUGAGGAUCUUGAGUUCGGGAGAGGUGAGUGGAACUGCGAGUGUAGAGGUGAAAUUCGUAGAUAUUCGCAAGAACACCAGUGGCGAAGGCGGCUCACUGGCCCGAUACUGACGCUGAGGCACGAAAGCGUGGGGAGCAAACAGGG
Molecule: ribosomal RNA, 254 nt
Filed under: uncultured bacterium
Lineage: Bacteria
Description: partial 16S ribosomal RNA
Rfam family: Bacterial small subunit ribosomal RNA
Source: RNAcentral